UCCACUCAGGAGAUCUCAAACAUGAUUGGUUAAGGUGUGUGCAGUGAGGAGGGUCCUUACCGUGUGUCAGGAGAGUCAGCAGAGCCACCGCACCGAUCACCUUGUAGAGAGCCAUAACUGAGCCUGAGGCGGCCCUCUCAACCUCUCAACCCAGACACAAUCACUCCCGGCUGGCAGGAGGCUGCGGUCCAGCUGGGAACUCUUGCUGAUCAACAUUUUUGCACAUUGAUGCCUAAUAAACAACUUUAACUUGUUCUGGGAGAGGCCCAGCCUGCUGAAGCAUGAUGGUCUCCACCCAAAACGACAUGGAGCCAGGCUGUUAUCUGACAACAUAACGACCACACUGACAGCCUGAGGCGGCCCUCUCAACCUCUCAACCCGGACACAAUCACUCCCAUCUGGCAGGAGGCUGCGGUCCAGCUGGGAACUCUU
Perca fluviatilis (European perch) is the source of this 432-nucleotide long non-coding RNA. RefSeq lists it as uncharacterized. NCBI's taxonomy places the organism in Eukaryota, Metazoa, Chordata, Actinopteri, Perciformes, Percidae. The transcript is spliced from 3 exons. The record is from RefSeq and is a predicted model, not a curated record.